Long non-coding RNA from Beta vulgaris subsp. vulgaris (sugar beet), 4602 nucleotides. RefSeq lists it as uncharacterized. The transcript has 2 exons. Lineage: Eukaryota; Viridiplantae; Streptophyta; Magnoliopsida; Caryophyllales; Amaranthaceae. The record is from RefSeq and is a predicted model, not a curated record.
AUUAAUUUUAUUUAUGGACUUUCCAAUUUUCUUACUGUAUUGUAUUGAUUAAAUGUAUAGUUUAUGCAAUAUAAAUAGUCUUCAAUCAAGAUUUUUGGGUCUCUGAAUUCGCUCUAAUCUUUAAAUGUUUGUUAUUACUAUGCUUUUUGAUCGCUGGAUUUGGUAAUUUGAUAAAUGGAGUAAAUGAAAAGAAUUAUUAGAAGAAAAAAUUGGUUUAUAAUCAAGAAAUAUCAUUGGUUUCAGAUCAGUCAUCGCGCUCAGACACAUUAAUUUCACUCAAUAAGAUUGAAUUGGAAUGAAGAAAAACAAAUAAAUUCACUUAAUUUUGGUAAACGAAAUGAACAUGAAUAUGGGAUUUCUCUUAUUUCUUAAAACAAAAUUCACAACCCACUAAUUGUUCCGAGUAUAUGUGGCUCUAAUAAGUAAUAACGGUUAGAUGAUUGUACUUAUCGGUUUAAAUCAUCGAUUACAUUAAUUUUGUAUACAAAUGUUUGAUACUCAAGUGAGUUGAUAGCUCACUUUUGAGAGAUAAAUACAAUUUACGAUUUUUUCACCAUAUACUCCGAGUUUUUAAAAAAUUUACGAGUUAUCCCAUGUUUUCAAAAUUCACCAGCUACCUCUUAGGUCUUAGUUACUUUUUAUUAGCAUUAAAUGCCUUUAUAAUUAAUGGACGUUAGUGCUCCGUUGGCCCAAAUCUACAAGUUUGUCAUUAAUUUUGUGACGUCAUAAUGGUAAUCUCCUAUUAGACAUCACUUCACUUCCAAAAAAUUUGUCCCAUCAACUUCCAGUCAUCGGUUUUGGUUCAUCCAUAAAACCCUAAAAUUGGGGAUUUUGAACAAAAUUCGUUAACCAUUUGAUGUGCAUUAGGAAGGUAUUUUGAACAAAUUGUUGUCGAGUUGAAGAAUCUCAACAAAAGACUGAAGUAAAAAUGUGAUUUUGUGGAACUGCGAAAAAGUUAAAAUUUUCAAAGCAACGGUUAAAAAACUGCGAAAUGUAAAAAAAAUCUUCAUUUUCUUCAACUUAAAGUGCUUUGAAGUUAAAUAAUUUCACACUUGUUGCAUGAAUAAUGUUUUGCAUUGUUUUAGGAUGCUAGGGUUAGUUGUGGUUGUUCGACUUGUAAUUUUUUGAAAUUUUUGUGCUUUGUACUUAGGUCUUCUUUACUUUGUGUUUGAUUUUUAUGUUAUGUGAUUAUUGGGAUGGUAUGUUGUAUAGUUAUUGGUGCAUUUCAAUACUCAUGAUUUUGAUGUUAGGGUAGAGGAUCGGACAUUGAUUUGUUUCAUUUAAUGGGCUUGUUUGAAGAUUUACUUGAGAAAUCAUUGAAGGAAAAUGUGUAUUUGUCUAAACUAUUUAGGGUGUUAGUUAAGAAUCUUAGGACUAAGAAGAAAAUUGAGUUGAGAACUGAUUCUGAUUUGAUGAAAGUGUGGGUAUGGGGAUUGGCCAAGGAUACCAUUGAGUUAUGAGUGGAGGAGACUGCAGACUCUUGCCAAGUAUUUAGGUAUGUUCUUGUAAAGAAAUAAUGAGGAGAGGGAGAAGCUUGAGAGCAUAAGGAGAGUACAGGAUAUAUUAAAGAGGGAGAGAGAGAAGGAGGAGGAAAGGAGGAGACAAGAAGAAGAAGAAGAAGAGGAGUAAAGGAGAUUGGAAGAAGAGAAGGAAUAUGCAACUAGAUUUUGUGUUGCUAUUGAGGUACAUGUGUUGUCUAUUGACAAUGAUGAGGUUGAGUACAUGAGAGUGUACUUAACACAGGAAGCUGAUGAAGUGGUCCCUAAUUUUUCACAACCACAACCUGAGGCUCAAACCCAAGACCUUGUUGACACCUCUCAACCCACAAAUGAGCCACAACCUAGCCCAAGUGAGGCACAACCCACAACAACAAUAGCAGCAACACCCACAAAGAGAACCCCAAGGAAAAAAAAAGAACAGCCACCCCUAAGAAAAAGAAACUGACCUUAAGGCCCAAGAAGAAGGCUAGCCUUGAACAACCCAUUCUCACUAAGCCCACCCCCUCACAGCCUACUGAAACACAGCCCAUCCCCUCUGAGCCCACCCCCUCGCAGCCUACUGAAACACAGCCCCCAACCCAGUAAAACACAUCCCACCCAACUAACCCCCUCAUAGCCUACUGAAACACAGCCCCCCCCCCCCCCAAAUCACCCCCUAUUCAUCACACCUCAACUGAGCCUAACUCACCAUCUAUUUCACAUGACACCCCAUUUGAGCAUACCUCAUAUGAGCCAACCCCAACUGAUCAAACUUUUAUGGUAAAAGAGAAGACGAAGAAUUUAGGUCCUCAGGUUUUAGAGUGCCUAAAAUCACAUCUAAAAGGCUAGACACCUAUGUUCCAAUUAAAAGGGCAAGGAACUGGGAGGCAGGGAAGUGGAAAGAGACCAAAGAGGGUGGAUUUUGGUGAUGAUGAUGGAGAUGAAAUGAUGAGGACAUCAUUGCUGAGUAGGAUGAAGAAACAUCAUAAGAUAAUGAUGUUUUAGGGGACUUUAUUGUAGAUGAGGAUGAGGACGCUUUUGCAUAUGAUGAUGUAUCCGAGAAGGCUUUUGAAGAUUUCUUAGAUGGGAGCUCUAGUAUGGACAAGUUGUAUAGGAAUGGUAAGAUAUGUAAUGAACAGUCAUAUGGGUCUAUUACAUUAGAGCCUUGGUUGAUCUUUCCAACUAGGGAGGUGUUUUUGGAGGUUCUGAGUGAUUUUUGCAUUUAAGAAGGCUUUGGUACUCUUGUCUUGAAGGCUAAUAACAAGAGGUUUACAACUUGUUGCAUAAUGGAAGCAUGUGAACGGAGGAUACAUGAUUUCAGAUUAAUUGAUACAACCAGUUGGGCCAUCAAGAUCAUUAAGGGGGAACAUACAACAUGUGGAAGGUUAAAGGAGAACCCCAUGGUCUUUUCUUUCUAGCUGUGUAAGAAACUGUAGGAAGUUAUCAAAACAAUCCUUGAUAUUCCUGUUAAGUCUUUGCAAAAGGUAGUUCAAGAGAAGUUUAGGGUGACAGUCAAGAAGAGGUUAUUUUACAAGGUGAAAAUCAUGGAUAAGGAGGAGAUUCAUGGAGGGUUUGUUGAGGCUUACAGCUUAAUCCCCACAUAUGCUGAGGAGAUUAAUCCCACAAACCCAGGGUCAUAUGUCCUUAUAACAUGGACAAGGAGCAUAGGUCAGGUAGCACCAAGUUUCAAGGCCUUUUUUUUUAAAUUUACAACACAAGUGAGGGGGUUUUUAAGAUGUUAUAGGCCUUUGAUAGGCAUUCAUAGCGCACACUUGAGUGGAUAUUAUAAGGGGGUCUUGUUGUCUGCUCUAGGUGUUGAUGGCAAUAAUAAAAUAUUUUUGAUUACAUAUGAUAUUAUUGAUACUGAGAGAACAUGAUCUUGGGAGUAUAGUAACUUGAGGUUGUGCUUUGAAAAAGAAGGGUGCAACAAGGAAGAUUGGUGCUUCAUUAGUGAUAGGAUGAGAGGGGUUGAUGUUGUGCAUGGGGUGUUUCCAAGGCUACUAGGAGGGUCUGUUGCCAACAUUUAUGAAUGAACUGCAAGAAUUUGAGCUGGAGUGGAUCAGCCUUCACAAGUUAUUUUGGAUUGCAAAAUGCCUACAACACAUAUGUGUUCAAUAAAGCAAUGGAGAAUAUCUUGGAUUUUGAUAAAGAUGUUGCUGCCUAUCUAGAUAACACCACGGAGCAGUGGUCCAUGCAUAUAUUUGACACAACAAUCAGUUGUGAUCACAGUACCACAAACUUUAUGGUGAGUUUUGAUGCCUGCACCAAAGCUCAUAGAGAUUUACUUGUGCUCAACCUACUUAAAGAGUCUGGUCAAUGAAGAGGAUUGGUGCAAGUUUUGACAAUGCUAUUGACAUGGAGUCAGGGCAACUAACUGAUUAUGUUACAAAGGUGCUCGAAACUAGGACUGGGGAUUCAAGAUUCUAUCAUGGAACAGCUUGUGGAGGAGGGGAGUUUGAAGCCAUAGAUGGGAGCGUUACUUUCCUAAUUAACUUUGCUAGGUUAAGUUGUGGGUGUGGCACAUGGCAAGGAUGUGGUAUCCCUUGCAAGCAUGUUUUAAGGGUGAUGUACAAUGAGAGAGUUGACCCUCUUGCCUAUGUGUCAGAUUAUUACAAGGGGACAACUUACAAGGCCACUUAUGCUGAGCACAUCCAUCCCAUGACUAAUCAAUCUCAAUGGUCAGAUUUUAACCUCCCACUAAUUCACCCUCCACACAAAAAGAGAGGUGAUGGCAGACCUCCAAAACAGAGGAAAAUAGGUGUGAAUGAGGCUAAAAAGGCCAAGAGAUACAACACUACUGUGAAGUGCAACAGGUGCAAGAAGAUGGGCCACAAUGCAAUAACAUGUGGCAGAAUGGAUGUAGGAAAAAAGAGAUUAAGCUGAUAGUGAGGCUAGCACUUCCAAGAAGACACAGAAGAGAGCAAGAAAGGCCACCUAAGCAACCUAGCAACAUUAUUUGCAUCUUUUAAACAAAUUUUUUUGGGUGAUUAACUUAAAUCAGUUUUUGUAAAGCUACAGUGAUAUGGGCAAAUCAGAUUUUUCUAACAAUGAUUUAGUGUUCUUUGUUGUGGUGAUUAGGGGAAGUCAGUUUUUUAUAAAGAAACUAAACAACAAAUUAGUUGUC